AAGUGUCACCUGUGGUGUGAGGGAGCCUUUCUGUCUCAGAGUCUGGGCCAGUGUGGACAGUAUUCCACUGGAAGCUAUCUGCUCUGCAGCACCCGUUUCUAUAAAGAGAGCAGACUAUUUUGUGUGUUUUGAUACAUGUGUAUGUGGUGUGCCAUCAAUUAUUUAACAUCAAUUAUUUAACACAAGGCUUUCUGAACGGCUGUGUGUUUUCAGUAUGUACUUGCUUAGGUGCUCAGCAUGGUCCUCUCCUACCCAAUUAAAUCAAUAACUUUCCUUUCUCUAAAUUUCCUGUGCUUAUCCCAUCUCUUUCAUAUGCUCUAGCCCUUGCUCCACACAGCUACACUCCUGAUUCCGUUAGUAGCUUCUCAGCAGGAUAUGGCCUCACUGUCGAAUGAUGAGAGAAUUUCUUCAACCUUAAACUGCGGAGAAUCUUUCAUUAGAGUGGGCGUCCCAACUGAAAAACUCCAUCCAGCCGAGGAGGCAGGUCACGCUGUCAGAUCAGGCUGUGCUGCCAUAGCAACAUCUGCAUUGUGUUCGUUUGGGGGGAGUCUGGUUCUUCCAUUUUUAGACGCAUUUGCCAACUAAAAUUACUAAGAAUCUGACAGGCAGUAACAACAAAUUAAUUUUCACCAGAGGAGAGUAGAAGGAGAAGAGGAGGGAGCCAGCAAGAGUUUACAGGCAAACCCAGCAUAUAAUACAGACUGAGCUGAGGACAGAGAAAGAAUAUCUGCAAGAGGGAGAGUAAUCACCCUGAUAAUCCCUGGGGGGUGCCUUGCCAUCAAUGUCAGACUUUCUUUCAGAACACCAACAAGACCAGACAAAGACUGUAAUGGAAAAACAACUCUGUUGCUCCUUUGAGGCAUUUUGCAGAGGCAUUUCUACUAAAUAUGGCCACAUAUACAUUCAGUGGAUUAAUGCAUCAAAGAUGCAUGUGUUAUUAAAAUCUGAAUCCUUCAGUUCUCUCUGGGCUUUUUUUUCCACUUGUCCUACUCAGACAUUAACAGUAUCUGAGCAUAUUUACUUUCAUAAACUUUCCUAAAUCAUUCAGUCACUGCAAAUGAUUAUUUAACAAAAAAAAAAUCCAUGAAUCUUUUACA
Molecule: long non-coding RNA, 1097 nt
Organism: Ictalurus furcatus (blue catfish)
Lineage: Eukaryota; Metazoa; Chordata; Actinopteri; Siluriformes; Ictaluridae
Exons: 3
Source: RefSeq, a predicted model, not a curated record